CCAAGGAGUCUAACAUGUGCGCGAGUCAUUGGGUCUAUUAAAGCCUAAAGGCGCAAUGAAAGUGAAGGUCGUCCUUUGCGUCGACCGAGGGAGGAUGGCUAGCGUUACGAUGCGAGCCCGCACUCCCGGGGCGUCUCGUGCUCAUUGCGAGCAGAGGCGCACCCAGAGCGUACACGUUGGGACCCGAAAGAUGGUGAACUAUGCCUGGUCAGGACGAAGUCAGGGGAAACCCUGAUGGAGGUCCGUAGCGAUUCUGACGUGCAAAUCGAUCGUCGGAACUGGGUAUAGGGGCGAAAGACUAAUCGAACCAUC
This 312-nucleotide ribosomal RNA is filed under the name Encarsia japonica. RNAcentral describes it as "eukaryotic LSU rRNA". It matches the Rfam family "Eukaryotic large subunit ribosomal RNA", at positions 666 to 944 of the family's 3401-position model. Lineage: Eukaryota; Metazoa; Arthropoda; Insecta; Hymenoptera; Aphelinidae. The record is from RNAcentral.